AACGAACGCUGGCGGCAGGCCUAAUAUAUGCAAGUCGAACGAACCUUCGGGUUAGUGGCGCACGGGUGCGUAACGCGUGGGAAUGUACACCUUGGUAAGGAACAACGUCGGGAAACUGACGCUAAUACCUUAUAAUAUCUCCGGAUCAAAGAUUUAUCGCCAAGGGAUCAGCUCGCGUCUGAUUAGCUAGUUGGUGGGGUAAUGGCCCACCAAGGCGAUGAUCAGUAGCUGGUCUGAGAGGAUGAUCAGCCACACUGGAACUGAGACACGGUCCAGACUCCUACGGGAGGCAGCAGUAAGGAAUAUUGGACAAUGGGGGCAACCCUGAUCCAGCCAUGCCGCGUGUGUGAAGAAGGCCUUAGGGUUGUAAAGCACUUUCAAACGUGAAGAUAAUGACGGUAGCGUUAGAAGAAGCUCCGGCUAAAUUCGUGCCAGCCGCCGCCGUAA
This 447-nucleotide ribosomal RNA is filed under the name uncultured bacterium. RNAcentral's name for it is "partial 16S ribosomal RNA". It matches the Rfam family "Bacterial small subunit ribosomal RNA", at positions 29 to 523 of the family's 1533-position model. The record is from RNAcentral.